Non-coding RNA from Microcebus murinus (gray mouse lemur), 541 nucleotides. Lineage: Eukaryota; Metazoa; Chordata; Mammalia; Primates; Cheirogaleidae. The record is from RefSeq and is a predicted model, not a curated record.
GCAGGGAACGAAGGAACAGAUGGUGGCCGCAUUCCCACUCCGGGUGAGGAAGGCUUGUGUCCAACAUGAGUAUGCCAGAUUUCCUUUAGUUUUUUGGGGUUUUAAAAAAUAAAUUGUUGAAGGGAAACACACAUGCAGAAAGAGCAUAAGUUAUAAUAUUACAGUUCAAAGAAUCAUCACAAAGUGAGCACUGCCCUAGAGUUAAAAAAACUGAAUAUCACAGAACCCCAGGGACCCUCAGACCCCUCCUGGCCAUGAGCCCCUCUCCAAGGGAACCACUGUCCUGCCUUCUAAUGACAUGAUGAGAAGACUAAGGCACAGAGAGCUUAAGCAACUUGCCCAUGGUUACCUACACUGCCAAUUUAAAUAACCCCUCGUCAAAAUGCACAACUUUCAGCAGCCUUGACCCUUUGCAGUGCCACUUGAUUAUACCAGAAGGUACUAUAUCAGUAGUAGCCGAUAAAAUGUCUGAAGAAUCUGUGAACCCAGAAAAGCCACGGGUACCCCAUUGGCAGUGGUAACAAUAAACUUUACAUUAGUG